RNAcentral lists this ribosomal RNA (491 nucleotides) under uncultured bacterium. Its description in RNAcentral is "partial 16S ribosomal RNA". It matches the Rfam family "Bacterial small subunit ribosomal RNA", at positions 29 to 506 of the family's 1533-position model. The record is from RNAcentral.
AGUGAACGCUGGCGGUAGGCCUAACACAUGCAAGUCGAACGGCAGCACAGUAAGAGCUUGCUCUUACAGGUGGCGAGUGGCGGACGGGUGAGGAAUACAUCGGAAUCUACUUUUUCGUGGGGGAUAACGUAGGGAAACUUACGCUAAUACCGCAUACGACCUACGGGUGAAAGCAGGGGAUCUUCGGACCUUGCGCGAUUGAAUGAGCCGAUGUCGGAUUAGCUAGUUGGCGGGGUAAAGGCCCACCAAGGCGACGAUCCGUAGCUGGUCUGAGAGGAUGAUCAGCCACACUGGAACGGAGACACGGUCCAGACUCCUACGGGAGGCAGCAGUGGGGAAUAUUGGACAAUGGGCGCAAGCCUGAUCCAGCCAUACCGCGUGGGUGAAGAAGGCCUUCGGGUUGUAAAGCCCUUUUGUUGGGAAAGAAAAGCAGCAGGUUAAUACCCCGCUGUUCUGACGGUACCCAAAGAAUAAGCACCGGCUAACUUCGU